This is a non-coding RNA of Caenorhabditis elegans, 128 nucleotides long. Lineage: Eukaryota; Metazoa; Nematoda; Chromadorea; Rhabditida; Rhabditidae. The record is from Ensembl.
ACUUUUCGGGACGACGUACGUAUGUCAUCUCUUGAAGUUGAUGUGGACACAAACGAUGGCAAAAUAGUGAACGAAAAAUUCGGUGCAGGUGGGCAGGAAAUGAGUAGCAAGGAUCUCAGGUUGCGCUC